RNAcentral lists this ribosomal RNA (321 nucleotides) under Triticum aestivum (bread wheat). Its description in RNAcentral is "partial small subunit ribosomal RNA". The record is from RNAcentral. Lineage: Eukaryota; Viridiplantae; Streptophyta; Magnoliopsida; Poales; Poaceae.
AUGCGCAAGCAGCAGGUCCACGAACAACUGCAAAACGGAGGAGAGAGGCGUGGACCAGCGGCGGCGGAGGAGGGAAAGCGGCAUUGGAGCAAGGGUAUAACGGUGGAGGUCAUGGAGCUCCGGGAAGGGUUUGGCGGGCGGCCUGGGAGGAGUUGCAAUGGCAUCGGCGAGAGAGAAAACAGAUGCAAAGAAAGAGGAAGGGUGGAGAAGCGGGGUCCCGAAGGAGUUUUGGGUAGGCCGGGGAUGUUGGAGUCCUAUUUGGUGUUAUCCAGACUCUCGCAAAGCCUUCCUAGUUUGCUUCCAAUUUACGGAAAAAAAUGA